AUCGAACGCUGGCGGCAGGCCUAACACAUGCAAGUCGAGCGGAUGAAGGCAGCUUGCUCCUGGAUUCAGCGUCGGACGGGUGAGUAAUGCCUAGGAAUCUGCCUGGUAUUGGUGUAUAACGUCCGGAAACGGGCGCUAAUACCGCAUACGUCCUGAGGCAGAAACAGGGGGAUCGUCGGACCUCACGCUAUCAUAGGAGCCUAGGUCGGAUUAGCUAGUUGGUGGGGUAAAUGCCUUCCAAGGAGACGAUCCGUAACUGGUCUGAGAGGAUGAUCAGUCACACUGGAAGUGAGACACGGUCCAGACUACUACGAGACGCCCCAGUGGCGUAUGUUAGACAGUGGGCGGGAGCAUGACACAGUGAUGGGGCGUGUGAGACGGCGGCCUUCGGAUCGUAAAGAACUUUAAGUUGGGAGAAAGGGCAGUAAGUUAAUACGAUGCUGUUUUGACGGUAAUAACAGAAUAAGCACCGGCUAACUUCGUG
Molecule: ribosomal RNA, 484 nt
Filed under: uncultured bacterium
Lineage: Bacteria
Description: partial 16S ribosomal RNA
Rfam family: Bacterial small subunit ribosomal RNA
Source: RNAcentral